AAUUUUAAAAGUUGAAAAGGACGGACAGAGGAAACCAAAGGGGCAUCUAGAUAACUUCGAUGUCGAUGUUCAUGUUCAGAGGUGACUUUGACAUCUUAAAUUAGGUUUCCUUUCUUAGAUCUAUCAUUCAAUGGGUUAGAGUUCAAAUUUUUUUGAGGUUUCUUCAUAAAAUAGGAAUUACGUAAGCUUCCUGUACAGUUAGUGUAACCAAUUGUUGAUGCAUCGAGCCUUUCUUCUUCAGUAGCCAAAAGAGACCGAGAACAAGAUAAACUUCACAAUAGGAGGCGAAGUUCACGAUCAGACUUCUAUAUCUUGGGGCCCAGAUGGAUCCACAUUAACUCCAAUCCAACUUUCAGUGGAUCCAUAAUCAGCACUCACUAGAGAGGGAGAUAUGGUGUUAUUGGAAGCUCCACCUUAUCAAUAAGGUGAAGGUAUGGACAACUCUUCAACUGAGCUACGUAAACGCUCCAUUAUAGAAAGAAGGUGUGGACAACUCUCCAACUGAGCUACACUCCCCAUUAUAGAAAGAAGGUAUGGAUAACUCUCCAACUGAGCUACACACCCCACUAUAGAAAGCGCGAUUUCAAAGGAAAGGUGGACAAAUU
This is a long non-coding RNA of Solanum tuberosum (potato), 605 nucleotides long. RefSeq lists it as uncharacterized. Lineage: Eukaryota; Viridiplantae; Streptophyta; Magnoliopsida; Solanales; Solanaceae. The record is from RefSeq and is a predicted model, not a curated record. The transcript has 4 exons.